GUAACCAGACACACCUAAUAUCAGAUGUUGUUUUGUAAACAAAUUUAACCAAACUAUUUUUUAGAAAAAAAAGGGUCAAAUUUUUUAACAAAAAAUGGAUAAAUAAAACGUAAAGAUUAAAAAUAAAUAAAUUAAGAGCGGAUGAUGAGCUAUUUUCUUCAUUUAGCUGCCAAAUCCAGCUUAAAAUUUGUCCUUGCCCAUGCCUAUAUCAAUUUGAGAUGCUGGAAUAAUAAGUAUUUGUUGUAGACGGUAUCUUUGAGGAUGGAAAUAGUUUAUGUUUUUACUAUUAAUUUUUUUUUUUGUAAUGAAAAUCUAAAUAUAAAUAAACUGCAUUUAAAUAUAUACUGUUCAGAUUUGCGCCAAAGUUGUUUUGAUGAAUCAGCUGUUAUCUUACAAAUCAAAUGACUGUACCCCCGAUAUUCGAUAUUUGGCUGAUUUGUGUAAUAUUUUCACCGGAAUUGUAUCAAUUUUGGUAUUAGCAAUGAAUACCACCUCCACUGACAGAAAAUUGCUUAUAUAGGAAUUAUUUCAAAUUUGGAGUUCACAAUGGGUACUACCAUGGUAAAGUAAAAAGGUAAGGUAGAGCUACCGGCUUAUUACAAUUUUUUCUAAGUGUGUCCGACUUCUGCAAAAUUUUGUGUAUGUAUUUGUUGUUUUGAAAAAUAAAAACGAAAUAUUUUUAAAAUCAA
This is a long non-coding RNA of Musca domestica (house fly), 689 nucleotides long. RefSeq lists it as uncharacterized. Lineage: Eukaryota; Metazoa; Arthropoda; Insecta; Diptera; Muscidae. The transcript has 2 exons. The record is from RefSeq and is a predicted model, not a curated record.